CUACUAACUUUCCUCACAACUGAAAGUGCUUUACAACCCGAAGGCCUUCUUCACACACGCGGCAUGGCUGCAUCAGGGUUUCCCCCAUUGUGCAAUAUUCCCC
Molecule: ribosomal RNA, 103 nt
Filed under: uncultured bacterium
Lineage: Bacteria
Description: partial 16S ribosomal RNA
Source: RNAcentral